RNAcentral lists this ribosomal RNA (219 nucleotides) under uncultured bacterium. RNAcentral's name for it is "partial 16S ribosomal RNA". It matches the Rfam family "Bacterial small subunit ribosomal RNA", at positions 524 to 740 of the family's 1533-position model. The record is from RNAcentral.
UACGUAGGGCGCAAGCGUUAUCCGGAAUUAUUGGGCGUAAAGAGCUCGUAGGCGGUUUGUCGCGUCUGCCGUGAAAGUCCGGGGCUCAACUCCGGAUCUGCGGUGGGUACGGGCAGACUAGAGUGAUGUAGGGGGAGACUGGAAUUCCUGGUGUAGCGGGUGAAAAUGCGCAGAUAUCAGGAGGAACACCGAUGGCGAAGGAGGUCUCUGGGCAUUAAC